GACGAACGCUGGCGGCGUGCCUAAUACAUGCAAGUAGAACGCAGUUGCGAACGGGUGAGUAACGCGUAGGUAACUGCCUGGUAGCGGGGGAUAACUAUUGGAAACGAUAGCUAAUACCGCAUACUACCAGAUGGACCUGCGUUGUAUUAGCUAGUUGGUGGGGUAACGGCCCACCAAGGCAACGAUACAUAGUCGACCUGAUAGGGGGUACCGCCAACCUUGCACUGAGACACGGCCCAGACUCCUACGGGGAGCAGCAGUAGGGAAUCUUCGGCAAUGGACGGAAGUCUGACCGAGCAACGCCGCGGGAGUGAAGAAGGUUUUCGGGUCGUAAAGCUCUGUUGUAAGGGAAGCGGUAUCUUACCAGAAAGGGACGGCUAACUACGUGCCAGCAGCCGCGGUAAUAC
Molecule: ribosomal RNA, 407 nt
Filed under: uncultured bacterium
Lineage: Bacteria
Description: partial 16S ribosomal RNA
Rfam family: Bacterial small subunit ribosomal RNA
Source: RNAcentral